Molecule: long non-coding RNA, 4700 nt
Filed under: Sus scrofa (pig)
Lineage: Eukaryota; Metazoa; Chordata; Mammalia; Artiodactyla; Suidae
Description: lncRNA (ENSSSCG00000062046.1)
Source: RNAcentral
GGUAGGCCAGCAGCUGUAGCUCCGAUUUGACCCCUAGCCUGCGAACUUCCAUAUGCCUCAGAUGCAGCCCUUAAAAAAAGAAAAGAAAAGAAAUAUACACACACACACAUCCAUAAUUCAGACGAAAAAACCAGGAUAGAGCUUAAAAUUUGGUGUAGGAUAUUAGGGUGGAGGAUGAAAAGUUGGAGUGGGACUUCUGGAUGUGCUUCCUGAUCAGUCGGAAGAGCCAAGGUACUUUGUUGCAGAUGUUUUAGGUGGGAGAGAGAGUUCGUAACUGAGUAGGGAGUGAGGUGAAGCGAAGCCUGGCCUCCACGUUGUGAGGAAUAUAGAUGUGAUAGGAGGGAAGGGGUGGUGACGUGGAUCGAGUCUGACCUUAAGAGAAAUCAUGUAUUUGGACUGAUAGCAUGAUACAAGGUGGGUGAGCGUAUGAGGCAAAGUUUGGAGGCAAAUAUGAUCAAGAGGCAGGAACUCCACAGCAAUUCCCUUCAUUUUUCUGCAGAUGAAGCAAUCUCUAUUAUCAUGGUUAUUGCUUUUUGACUUCUCAGAUAAUUUUAACUUAUUUUUAGAAAUAUCACCACAGCUUUAUCUUUAUUGUGACCAGAUGUGAGCAGAUUAAAAACAUUUGGAAUUGUUUGGAAAUAUUAGAGUUUGUGUAAAGCAGACACAUUAGUUAGAGGUAGACUGCUUUAGAUUAUAAGCAAAAGCAAGCAAAAGCUAAAGCAUUUUUUUUUGCACAAAUGACAAAAACAAAUAAAAAUCCCUGUCAGAAUAAAUGUAAUUUAUGGAUCUAUUAAAUAUAGUCUCAUCUAGCUCACUAAGUUGCUUCAUAUGUCUAUUUUCUAAAAAUUACUAACUGGUAACCUAAGACUAUUUAUUUUUAGUUAUUAGUUCACUCUUUGCUAUGAGACAUAGAAGACUCAUAAAGCAUUAAGGUUAAAGGACCUAAGAGAUAAUUGAAUUCAAGCCUUGAAUUUUGAAAAUGACAAAGCAGAGACUUAAAAGAAUAAAAUGAUCUUCCUAAGGCCAUGAAACUGGUUUGCGUUGGAACUGAAGCUAAAAUUCUGAUCUGCUGACACUCGGGUCACAAGGUGCUUGUUUUCCUAAUAUUAUCCAGAGUGGCCUUUAUGACAACACUUGGAAGUCAACCCCUUAAGAGUCUGAUACUAAUAACAUUAUACAUUAUGCACAAACAGUAUGUUGCAUUUCAAAUCAUAAGACCAUAUUAAAUUAAAUAAAAUACAAACAGACUUGAAUUUUUGUUAUGACACAUUAGGGAGAUUGACACUAGAGGCAAGGAUAAAGAAUUACAGGAUUAUUUUAGGGAGACUUGAAUUUUUAAAAAAAGAAACUUGAUAUAGUGGUAAACCAUGAUAGAUGCUUCGUCAGGGAGUGAUGUGAUUAAUGUGUUAUUCUAGGAAGGUUAUUCUAUCAGUUAUAUGGAUAUUGACAAAAAGUCAGGUUGAAAUCAAAAGAAAGAAAAUAAAAGCAGAGGCUUCUGAGAUGAGCCAGAACUGACAUGCAUGUGUACUGUUCAGGGAUGGUGGCAUGUCUGACCAUUUUUCGUUUAGUGUCUGAGUCUAUUCAGGCUGCUGUAACAUAAUACCAGAGACUGGGUGGCUUAAACAGCAGUCAUUUAUUUCUCACAGUUCUGGAGGCUGGGAAGUCCAAGACUAAGGCACUAGGAGCGUCUGUGUCUGCUCAGAGCCUGCAUCUUAGCUCAUAAACACAACCAUCUUCCCAUUGUCUUCACAGGGCAGAAAGGACAAGACCUCUCUGGGGUCUCUUUUAUGAGAGCACUAAUCCCAUCAUGAGGAAGGGCUCUGACCUCAGGAGCUAAUCACCUCCCCAAAGCCUCCACCUUCAAAUAACAUCACAGUUGGAGGUUAGAUUUCAACAGCUGAAUCUUUUUGUGUGUGUGUGUGUGUGGCUGUUCCUGCAGCCUGUGGAAGUUCCUGGGCCAGGAAUCGAACCUGAGCCACAGCAGCAACCUGAGCUGCUGCAGUGACAAUGCCAGGUCCUUAAGCCACUGCACCAGGGAACAGGGAACUCCCAGCAUAUGAAUCUUGAAGGAACACAAACAUUGUCCAUAGCAAUUAAUGACCAGUUAACAUCAGUAAUGUGGAAAGACAAAAAAGCUAUCAUGGUUGCUAACCAAGGCUUUGAAAUCCAUGAAAAUUGUUGUAAAAAUGCAGCUACCCAAGCUUCAAACUUUGUGAUUCUGAUUUUGUCCUGGGUGGAUCCUUGUUUUACAGGUGAUAGUAUAUAUCAAAUAAUAAAUGAGUGUUUGAGGGGGCAAUAGGAAACAAACCGAAUUUUUAAAAAACAGAUGUAGAGAUUCUUCGAUUUAUAAAAGCAAAUUUAUUCUUCUUCCUUGAAAAGUUGUUUACUUAGUUAAAUAAAUAAAGACUGCUAGUAAUUAAUGAUGAGGGUAUGUAUUCCCUAUAGAUAACUAAGGUUAGACUAGUUGUCUAUAGGCAAUAGGCAGCCUCUAGAUAAUCUAUACCCUCUGGAGACUGUUACACCCUCUAGGGAAGAGAUAACCCCCAGACUUCCUAAAAUAAGUAUUUAGAAAUAGGUAAAUACUAAACACAACAAGGAUUGUUCACUUUCAAGUGCUUGUCUUUUUAUUUUACCUUUUUCCUUCUCAUGUUUCAUUCUUUCCCAAGUCCAUUUGUACUGUCUGGUUUCCCUUUUAAUACCUACCACUCUCCUCACCCAGGCUCCUCCCUACAGAUGGAAGCCUUUGGGAGGAAGGAUAGGAAGGGAAGCUAAUGCUGCCAAACCUCCUACCUAGUGAGAAAGAUGAAGUAAUCGUGAUCCUUUGUCUUUAGAGAAACAAAGUGUGGCAGGAUUUGUUUGUAAGCACAGAAUCCUGCCUCUCUCUGCCUCAUUCUCUUGCUCUACUUCAGAUAUUCUGAUCUGAAAGUCCUGCUAUGAAAUCUAGACUAUUCAUGGAGGGGAUCUUUCAUCAUUUAAAAAUUGCCACUCACUAUUUUGCAUUCCAAGGAUAUAUGUACCUUAGUCUCAACCCCGUAAGCCCCAAAAGCAUAGGCUGAUUCACAAAUUCAUGACGCCUGUCUGAACUCUAGCCUUGUAUCCAGCUGCCUACUCAGCAUCACUACUUGUAUGUGUAGCAGGCAGCUCACUUUUAUUGCAUUCAUAACUGAGCUUGGCAAUUACUCCUCAGAAACCGUCUUUCCCACCUAGCCUUUCCCAUUGUAAUUUCUUACAAUUCCAUUCUUAUGGUUUUUCUGGGACAAAAGCAAAAGCAAGACUUUGGAGUCGUGACAGGUUUCUUUCACUCACCUCUCACACCUAAUUUGUCAGCAAAUCCCAUUCACUGUGUCUUCAGAAUAUAUCCUGGCUUCCAGCUAUGAUGGCCCAACUUGGAGCGAACCAGUCCUCUUCUCCCUGAGAGCAACUAGGAAAUCUGGGUAAAAUAUAAAAAAACAUCUGCUCGAGGGCAUUAUAUGGUUUCCAAGGCACCCGGAUUUGAGGAGUCAUAAUCCUAGAAUAAAAAGAAGUGCAGAGAAGUGAGAUUUACCUUCUAAGCCACUUUUGCCCAUGGGGCAGUGCAGGCCAGGAGUCACAGAAGCUGAGCAGAGAGCAGUUAUCAGAAGUCGGGUGCUUCUGAGAGAUAAAAGCUGGAGUACAAGGUCUGCCAGGUAGAUGGGCCCAGACUGUCAGCUGAGAGCUCUAAACAACAACAUGCAAGAAAUUAGGGAAAAUGAGAAAUGGAUCAGCUUUGAGGAAGAUUGAAACCUUUAUCCCAGGUAGCUUAAGCCCUGACUGGGUUAAUGGUUCUGCUCCUAUUUAAAACCGCCUUCUAGAAACCUGACAACAGCCCUUUGGAGAAAGAAUCACCCUUUUAGUCUCUACAAUUUUUCCAUCCAAUGUCCUGAUUUAUUAAGAGACAGGACCUUGGGAAAGAGUAGACAAUAAAAACACUCACAUGUGCCUCAGAUAUUGGAAUUUAAAAUAACUCUAAAAAUUAUGUUCGAGAAAAAUUGAUGACAAAAUGAAGAGUUUCCCUGGAAAACUGAAGUCUAUAAUAAAGAAUAAAUGGAAAUUCAAGAACUGAAAAUCAUCUUUUCUUGAUGGUGAUGAUUUUUUAAAUGUCUUCUCUAUUUUUCUUGAUAAAUCAGAAGCUUUUCAAUUUUAUUAGUCAUCUCAGAGAACAAAGUUUAGGUUUUAUUGGUUCUUUCUAGAGAAAUGGGUUUGUUUCUAGUAGGCAGCUACAGAUAACCUAGUAAACCACUCUAGGAUUCAGUUUUCACAUCUUGAAAAUGCAGGUUUUAGCUUAAUGAGUAGUUACGGAAUUUCAAUAAAAUGUUGAUUUUUGAGUUGUAAAGAGAACACUUAUACCUAUGUGGGUAUGUGCCCCACACAGGUGGGGCUUCAGAACUGAGAGAAGUCCAGGCCAGACGGUGGGUCAUCUGCCAAAAGGGGCAGUUGUAGCUAAGAAGGUGCAUAGGAUCAGCAAGAAAGAAAGGAAUUCCUUUCUUUCUGGCUCAGCAGAAACGAAUCUGACUAGUAUCCAUGAGGACGCAGGUUCGAUCCCUAGCCUCGCUCAGUGGGUUAAGGAUCUGGCGUUGUCAUAAGCUGUGGUGUAGGUUGCAGUCCCAGUUGCAGCUUGGCUCUGGCAUUCCUGUGGCUGUGGUAUAGGCCUGCAGCUACAGCUCUGAUUGACUCCUAGCCUG